Molecule: ribosomal RNA, 813 nt
Filed under: uncultured bacterium
Lineage: Bacteria
Description: bacterial SSU rRNA
Rfam family: Bacterial small subunit ribosomal RNA
Source: RNAcentral
AGAGUUUGAUCAUGGCUCAGAGCGAACGCUGGCGGCGUACUUAACACAUGCAAGUCGAACGAGGAUCAUCGGUGUAGCAAUACAUUGCUGGUCCUAGUGGCGCACGGGUGAGUAACACGUGGGUAACCUGCCCUUGAGUUCGGGAUACCCCCUCGAAAGGGGGGCUAAUACCGGAUACGUUCCUCGGAUCGACAGGUCUGGGGAGGAAAGGUGGCGCAAGCUGCCGCUCUUGGAGGGGCUCGCGGCCUAUCAGCUAGUUGGCGGGGUAACGGCCCACCAAGGCUAUGACGGGUAGCUGGUCUGAGAGGACGACCAGUCACACGGGGACUGAGACACGGCCCCGACUCCUACGGGAGGCAGCAGUGGGGAAUUUUCCGCAAUGGGCGAAAGCCUGACGGAGUGACGCCGCGUGUGGGACGAAGGCCUUCGGGUCGUAAACCACUGUCAGUGGGAAAGAAGGGUGUCGGUGCUAAUACCACCGGCAUUUGACGGUACCUGCAGAGGAAGCCCCGGCCAACUCUGUGCCAGCAGCCGCGGUAAGACAGAGGGGGCAAGCGUUGCUCGGAAUUACUGGGCGUAAAGGGCGCGUAGGCGGGAUGGCAAGUCGGUCGUGAAAUCCUUCGGCUCAACCGAAGAACGUCGAUCGAUACUGCUGUUCUUGAGGAUUGCAGAGGAGACUGGAAUUCCCGGUGUAGCGGUGAAAUGUGUAGAGAUCGGGAGGAACACCGGUGGCGAAGGCGGGUCUCUGGGCAAUUCCUGACGCUGAGGCGCGAAAGCGUGGGGAGCAAACGGGAUUAGAUACCCUAGUAGUCC